GAUGAACGCUGGCGGCGUGCUUAACACAUGCAAGUCGAACGGAAAGGCCGAAGCUUGCUUCGGUACUCGAGUGGCGAACGGGUGAGUAACACGUGGGUGAUCUGCCCUGUACUUCGGGAUAAGCUUGGGAAACUGGGUCUAAUACCGGAUAUGACAAUCUCUUGGAUGGGGUUGUGGAAAGCUUUUGCGGUAUGGGAUGAGCUCGCGGCCUAUCAGCUUGUUGGUGGGGUAAUGGCCUACCAAGGCGUCGACGGGUAGCCGGCCUGAGAGGGUGUACGGCCACAUUGGGACUGAGAUACGGCCCAGACUCCUACGGGAGGCAGCAGUGGGGAAUAUUGCACAAUGGGCGCAAGCCUGAUGCAGCGACGCCGCGUGGGGGAUGACGGCCUUCGGGUUGUAAACUCCUUUCGCAACCGACGAAGCUUUUUGUGACGGUAGGUUGAGAAGAAGCACCGGCUAACUACAUG
RNAcentral lists this ribosomal RNA (467 nucleotides) under uncultured bacterium. RNAcentral describes it as "partial 16S ribosomal RNA". It matches the Rfam family "Bacterial small subunit ribosomal RNA", at positions 28 to 507 of the family's 1533-position model. The record is from RNAcentral.